This 338-nucleotide ribosomal RNA is filed under the name uncultured bacterium. Its description in RNAcentral is "bacterial SSU rRNA". It matches the Rfam family "Bacterial small subunit ribosomal RNA", at positions 43 to 383 of the family's 1533-position model. The record is from RNAcentral.
UCAGGCCUAACACAUGCAAGUCGAGGGGUAGAACAUUUCGGUGUAUGAGACCGGCGCACGGGUGCGUAACGCGUAUGCAACCUACCUUUUACAGGGGAAUAGCCCAGAGAAAUUUGGAUUAAUGCCCCAUGGUAUAUUUAGAUGGCAUCAUCUGAUUAUUAAAGUUCCAACGGUAAAAGAUGGGCAUGCGUCCUAUUAGCUAGAUGGUAAGGUAACGGCUUACCAUGGCAACGAUAGGUAGGGGUCCUGAGAGGGAGAUCCCCCACACUGGUACUGAGACACGGACCAGACUCCUACGGGAGGCAGCAGUGAGGAAUAUUGGACAAUGGGCGCAAGCC